RNAcentral lists this unclassified non-coding RNA (640 nucleotides) under Ixeris chinensis subsp. versicolor. RNAcentral's name for it is "sequence contains ITS1, 5.8S rRNA gene and ITS2". The stretch from base 254 to 409 matches the Rfam family "5.8S ribosomal RNA". Lineage: Eukaryota; Viridiplantae; Streptophyta; Magnoliopsida; Asterales; Asteraceae. The record is from RNAcentral.
UCGAAACCUGCAAUGCAGAACGACCUGCGAACAUGUAAAUACAACUUGGUGUUGGGGUGAUGGGCCUUGGUCCUGAUCUUUAACAUCUCCUGGCGUGCUUGCAUGGUGCUCUUUGGGCAACUUGUGAGUCUCGUCAGAUCUUAACAAACCCCGGCACGGAAUGUGCCAAGGAAAACAAAAAAUGAGAAGGACUUGACCUGUUUGCCCCGUUCGCGGUGUGUAUAUAGGUUUUGGCCUCCUUGGAAUCACAAACGACUCUCGGCAACGGAUAUCUCGGCUCACGCAUCGANNNNNNNNNNNNNNNAAUGCGAUACUUGGUGUGAAUUGCAGAAUCCCGUGAACCAUCGAGUUUUUGAACGCAAGUUGCGCCCGAAACCAUCCGGUUGAGGGCACGCCUGCCUGGGCGUCACGCAUCGCGUCGUCCCCCAACAUACUCUCCCUUACUGGGUUGUCAUGUUGAUUGGGGACGGAGAUUGGCCUCCCGUGCUUCUGGUGCGGUUGGCCUAAAUAGGAGGCCCCCUUCGGUGGAUACACGGCUAGUGGUGGUUGUUAAUACCCUCGUAUUGUGCUGUGUGUUGUGAGCUGUUAGGGAAACCCUCACCAAAGACCCUAUUGUAUCGUCUUGGUACGAUGCUUCGAC